GACGAACGCUGGCGGCGUGCUUAACACAUGCAAGUCGAACGCGCCUGUCCUCUGGGUUUCUGGGGGGUGGGUGAGUGGCGAACGGGUGAGUAACACGCGAGUAACCUGCCCCCUUCUUCGGGAUAACGGUCUGAAAGGGCUGCUAAUACCGGGUAUUCACUGGUCUCCGCAUGGGGUCUGGUGGAAAGGUUUUUUUCUGGUGGGGGAUGGGCUCGCGGCCUAUCAGCUUGUUGGUGGGGUGAUGGCCCACCAAGGCUUUGACGGGUAGCCGGCCUGAGAGGGUGACCGGUCACAUUGGGACUGAGAUACGGCCCAGACUCCUACGGGAGGCAGCAGUGGGGAAUAUUGCACAAUGGGCGCAAGCCUGAUGCAGCGACGCCGCGUGAGGGAUGGAGGCCUUCGGGUUGUGAACCUCUUUCGCCCGUGGUCAAGCCGCGACGUGGGUCGUGGUGAGGGUAGUGGGUAAAGAAGCGCCGGCUAACUACGUG
RNAcentral lists this ribosomal RNA (488 nucleotides) under uncultured bacterium. RNAcentral describes it as "partial 16S ribosomal RNA". It matches the Rfam family "Bacterial small subunit ribosomal RNA", at positions 28 to 507 of the family's 1533-position model. The record is from RNAcentral.